UGAGUAACGCGUAGGAAUCUACCCAGUAGCGGGGGAUAAGCCAGAGAAAUUUGGUCUAAUACCGCAUACGCCCUUCGGGGGAAAGCAGGGGAUCUUCGGACCUUGCACUAUUGGAUGAGCCUGCGUGAGAUUAGCUUGUUGGUGAGGUAAUGGCUCACCAAGGCGACGAUCUCUAGCUGGUCUGAGAGGAUGAUCAGCCACACUGGAACUGAGACACGGUCCAGACUCCUACGGGAGGCAGCAGUGGGGAAUAUUGCACAAUGGGCGCAAGCCUGAUGCAGCCAUGCCGCGUGUGUGAAGAAGGCCCUAGGGUUGUAAAGCACUUUCAGCAGUGAGGAAAGGUGCGUAGUUAAUACCUGCGUACUGUGACGUUAACUGCAGAAGUAGCACCGGCUAACUCCGUGCCAGCAGCCGCGGUAAUACGGAGGGUGCGAACGUUAAUCGGAAUUACUGGGCGUAAAGCGCGCGUAGGUGGAUUGGUCAGUCAGAUGUGAAAGCCCAGGGCUCAACCUUGGAACUGCACCUGAUACUGCCAAUCUAGAAUACGGUA
RNAcentral lists this ribosomal RNA (550 nucleotides) under uncultured bacterium. RNAcentral's name for it is "bacterial SSU rRNA". It matches the Rfam family "Bacterial small subunit ribosomal RNA", at positions 107 to 653 of the family's 1533-position model. The record is from RNAcentral.